This 802-nucleotide ribosomal RNA is filed under the name bacterium C09. RNAcentral's name for it is "bacterial SSU rRNA". It matches the Rfam family "Bacterial small subunit ribosomal RNA", at positions 10 to 804 of the family's 1533-position model. The record is from RNAcentral.
AGUUUGAUCCUGGCUCAGAUUGAACGCUGGCGGCAGGCUUAACACAUGCAAGUCGAGCGGAGUGAUGGUGCUUGCACUAUCACUUAGCGGCGGACGGGUGAGUAAUGCUUAGGAAUCUGCCUAUUAGUGGGGGACAACAUCUCGAAAGGGAUGCUAAUACCGCAUACGUCCUACGGGAGAAAGCAGGGGAUCACUUGUGACCUUGCGCUAAUAGAUGAGCCUAAGUCGGAUUAGCUAGUUGGUGGGGUAAAGGCCUACCAAGGCGACGAUCUGUAGCGGGUCUGAGAGGAUGAUCCGCCACACUGGGACUGAGACACGGCCCAGACUCCUACGGGAGGCAGCAGUGGGGAAUAUUGGACAAUGGGGGGAACCCUGAUCCAGCCAUGCCGCGUGUGUGAAGAAGGCCUUAUGGUUGUAAAGCACUUUAAGCGAGGAGGAGGCUCUUUUGGUUAAUACCCAAGAUGAGUGGACGUUACUCGCAGAAUAAGCACCGGCUAACUCUGUGCCAGCAGCCGCGGUAAUACAGAGGGUGCAAGCGUUAAUCGGAUUUACUGGGCGUGAAGCGCGCGUAGGCGGCCAAUUAAGUCAAAUGUGAAAUCCCCGAGCUUAACUUGGGAAUUGCAUUCGAUACUGGUUGGCUAGAGUGUGGGAGAGGAUGGUAGAAUUCCAGGUGUAGCGGUGAAAUGCGUAGAGAUCUGGAGGAAUACCGAUGGCGAAGGCAGCCAUCUGGCCUAACACUGACGCUGAGGUGCGAAAGCAUGGGGAGCAAACAGGAUUAGAUACCCUGGUAGUCCAAUCCCGC